RNAcentral lists this non-coding RNA (45 nucleotides) under Schistosoma mansoni. Lineage: Eukaryota; Metazoa; Platyhelminthes; Trematoda; Strigeidida; Schistosomatidae. The record is from RNAcentral.
ACUUAGCCGACGAGUCGUAAAUAGGACGAAACGCGCGUCAUGGAU